GGGCCGCUAGCUCAGUUGGUAGAGCAACAGCCUUUUAAGCUGUGGGUCGGCAGUUCAAUCCUGCCGCGGCUCA
This 73-nucleotide transfer RNA is filed under the name Spirochaetales bacterium. RNAcentral describes it as "tRNA-Lys". It matches the Rfam family "tRNA". Rfam says of the family: Transfer RNA (tRNA) molecules are approximately 80 nucleotides in length. The record is from RNAcentral. Lineage: Bacteria; Pseudomonadati; Spirochaetota; Spirochaetia; Spirochaetales.